This is a long non-coding RNA of Epinephelus moara (kelp grouper), 4954 nucleotides long. RefSeq lists it as uncharacterized. NCBI's taxonomy places the organism in Eukaryota, Metazoa, Chordata, Actinopteri, Perciformes, Serranidae. The transcript is spliced from 2 exons. The record is from RefSeq and is a predicted model, not a curated record.
UGAUGGCUGGCAUCAGCAGAAGAGAGAGCAGAUUUAAAAUUUUGCAGUGGCAUUGUGAUAGGCUGAGAUAUUGUGGCAAAGUGUGAUUGGAUAACUAGAAGAGGGAACACCCUUAGUCAGCUGAUUAGAGGGAGUAGUGAGAGUGGGAUGGAGAAAAUGUGAAAGGGUGAGCACAGAGAAAGGUCUUCCUGAUUGAAUUUACGCUGAGCUUCAUUGCACAUAAUCCAGUCGAAAUUAACAUAUAUUUUUAAACACUUGAAGAUCCACUCAUUACUAAAAGUGUAUGUCAUAUGAAAACUAAAGUAAUGGUCAAAGUCGUCACAGUGUUUUGAUGGAUUUACGGCGUCAACUCAUGCAUUAAAAGUCGCCAGCAGUCGGCCCAGUGACUUAUUUUCCUCUGACUCCAGCUGCUGCGAGAGGCAGCAAAACAUCUUUUUAUUUUAUAGUUACAGUUUACUAGUAUAUGUAAAACUCUCCACAGUAUGAACAGUGGUUACAUGAGCCUCAAAACCAGCCACAACUCAGCCCUGAGCAGAAUGACCAUCCUCUAUUGACCAAUCAACAGACUGCAGUGUUCAUAGCUCCACCUUUUAGUACCAGAUCUGUGUGCUAGGUACCCCAACAGAAGGGGGACCAAAAAUGGGGACGGUACAGAACGGUUCCAUUGGUUCCACCAAAACCUUUUCACAGUGGAAACGGAAAAAAAGCAAACUGAACUGAACCGUACUGCUCGGUGGAAAUGAGGCUUUUACAAUUGAUCAUUUUAUGGGGUAAUAUUUCUUUGUGUACAAUUUUGAGCGACUUGCAUUUACUGGAGUAUUUCCAUUUUCUUUCUGCUACACUACACGUAAUAACCAAAUUUUGUUCUUUUUAUUCCACUACAUUUAUUUGACAACUUUAACAUCUAGUUAACUUGCAGAUUAAGAUUAAAUAGGGUUAAACAAAUGUGUAUUGUAAUAGGUAAGAUAAGUGCAAAUCUCUCUUGGUCCUUGGGGUAAAAUUUCCGAGCUACCUGUUGUGUUCUGCUCGUCCCUCUCCUACACACCUGUUUGGAAAUAGAUGUGUGAAGUACUCCUUUGUUCUGAACACAUGAAUGCAUCCAUAGUUAUAAUCCAGUAAUAUGAUACGUAAUUAAUAUAAAAUGGGCCAUUCUGCAUCAUGAGUAGUUGGACUUUUGGUACUUUAAGUAUAUUUUAUUGCUAAUACUUUAGUACUUUUACUCAAGUAAAAUCUAGAGUAUAUCUACACUGUGGUAUUGCUACUUUUGCUAAAGUAAAAACUUAAGUACUUCUUCCACCACUGCUGCUAAUAUGCACAUUAUCAAAGUGACAUAAAGAUGUGAUGAAACAGUUAGAAGCUUAGUUGACGUGUCUAUAGACAGAUCAAUUACCAAACUAAUUUCAGCCUUUCAAAAUAUGACGAUUUGAUGCUCAUCUGUAUUUCAUAUAUCACAGUUAAUAGCUUGUUCUGUGGAACAAAAAUAGCAAGUUUAAUUAAUCAGUGAGUCGUGCACCAGUUUACCAGUUGCAGUCCGAAUAUACAUCAAAUUGAUGUUCAUGGCAUGGUAAUAGCAAGCAAGACAGCGCCUUUUGAUUUUAUUGUAAUGUUUCCCUAAUUAGUGUCAUGAGAUUUAAUUAAUGUAGAUAUAUUUUUUAUCACAAUAAUUUGUUGUUUAUUCAUCAUGCAAAAAUUCUUGUGAUAGAGGGUAAACAAUGAGGUUUGUGAGUUACUGCUCAGCUCAAACUGUAGGCAGUCAUUCAUGCGAACUAGUCAUCAUGGCUGCUUUUCUGCCCAUUAAAAUCCAGAAAAACCGGUCAAAGACAGAUGUUUGCAUGUCUAACUGCAGCAAAUAUAUGCCACUGGGUUGUGCAAAUAACCUACAGAGCUGAAAAAAAGACUUGUGAAUAUUUGUUUAUGCCCUUUCACCUUUAAAAAGACAGAGCCUCAUAGAAAAAAUGCAUACUAUGCAACCUGCAAAUUUACGUGUUUAGGCAGUGUGUUAUUUCUGAGCACUGAGUGUGUUGUUAAAGCUGUUUUCUGCAAGGGUCACAGAUCAUAUAAACUUGACAAUAUUCACUUCCAAACGCGACUGUAAACAGCACACUCGGUCUGAUUUUCUGACCAUAUGCCUCGCUGAGCUUCUGCACAGACAGCAGGCAGCAUCUGUUCAGUUCAGGGUCUAAGUAUCUCCACAUGUCAAUGCUGCACGUGCAGCUAUUUACCAGUUACGGCAUAAAUCCCCUAUUCUCUCUCUUUCCUUUUGUCUCUUUGUCUCAUCUCGUCUUGACACUCCGUCUACUAUCCUGUUUGUCUCCUUCCCUCCAUCUGCCUCUCAGCCCCAAAUGACCCUCGGUCAGUUUCCUGCCUUUCUUUGCCUCAUCUGUGUCUUCCUGUUAUUCUCCGUCUGUGUCUGUUUGUGCCUCAUCCCCUCGGUAACAUUUUGUUUCCUCCUUACAGUUUACAUUAUUUUAUGUUGGCACUUAUUAUUCAAAGACAUGACAGUUGUUUAAAUACAGAGAUAAUAGCACACAAUUUCUGUCUGUCUCUGAUGGAAGGAAUUUAUAGUGUUGAAAUAAAAAAAAAAGUGACAGAAAUGAAGAUGAAGAAGAUGGUCACAAAUACAUAAAAAGAUCUUGUUACAAAUUACAAAUACUUGCAGUCAAAUGUAUUAAAUUAAAAUACAAGUAAUGUGUAAUUUGAAAAAACUCAAAUCUGAUAUUAUUAUAUUUUAGGCAUUUUGUAACCUCAGUAUCUGUCCAUAAAUCUGUCUUGUAAUAAAUAAAUAAUUUUGGGUAUAUCUGGAAGGUGGAGGAGGCUCCAAAUUUAGAAUUUUUGUUUACAGUUAUCUGGGGAUAAAAAUGUGUUUUAUUUGGAAAUAAAAUGGCAUAAUAAAUAAUGGAUUAUAAGUAUUUUAAAUAGACAAAUACAAGCUCUUGAGGUAUUUUGUUACAAAUUAUAUCUUAUUUUUUUCUGUCCAGCAAAAUACAAACACAAAACACAUUUAAAAGUAAUUAAAUAUAUAUUUUUUAAAUACAUUUAAGUGAAAUUUAUCUCUGCUUGAAGAAGGUUUGAAUGUGAAAUUGCCAUUUUUGGAAGGUAACAGAAAUUGUCAGAUAAUGCUUUUAUUGAAGCAGCAUUAUUUAUUUAUUUAUUUAUUGGUGACUUGGAGGCAGCGGAACAAGCUGUAAACACAACAUUGACAUAUUAUCAGCCAUAUUGUUUUGGCAAAUUUACAAUACAAAUUUACGCAUCCAGCAACAAAAGCAUUCAUUUCGAGUCGUGUCUGUGGCCACCUGACAUAUUCACUCUCUUUUUAGCUCUGUGUUUGGUCUCCACCGACUCCUGAGGGAAAUGUGCUGCUCUUUAGCUGCUAAAUGCUCCACUGUGGUCACUUGCUACUUGCUAACAUUGUCUGUCUGCUGUUUGAUGCUGAGCAGGUAGUGUACAGUUAGUUAUCAAAGUUUUUUCUGCUGGAAGCAGGGACGAUAAGAGCAGUGAACCAAAACAAUGAAGCUACCAGAUGUGAAACCAAAACAUUGAACUGAUAGAUGCAGAAACACUCCGUACAGCUGGGUGAAACUGCACAGUUGGUAAUUAUUGUUUGCUGGUCACUGCAAAUGACCUUUCACGUCAAACAUAGUGAAUUGAUCCAUUUUAAGUGUAAAAAACUUUGUUGGCUGACUAUUGCUGUCCUCUUUCUCUCUUCCCUUUAGGUAAAGAUAGUGCGCAGUGGUGAUGUGCAGUGCUUGUCCUUCCCUCUAACUGUAGCGACCUUCUUCACGUCAACCUCCUGGGUCCUGUAUGGCCUGCAGCUGAAUGACUACUAUAUUGUGGUUCCAAACACACCUGGGAUCUUCACCAGCCUCAUCAGAUUUUAUCUGUUUCGGAGAUUUGCGUCUGUCAAUCAGAGCUCGCCGUCCUAUAAAUCUAUGCAGAUAUGAGGAUAUGAGGGUGGGGUGGGGUGGGGGUGGGGGGGGGGGGGGGUAUGAAAAAAGAUGACACAUCUGUUGACACUGUGGAGGGCUGCUGCGAAGAUCUCCCAUCACCUGUCUUGUACUUUUGAUCAUACAGAGAGACAGUGGAGAGAAACAAACGGCACCACUGAUGACGUGGAGACAAUGUCGUGUGUCAUCAUGUCCAGGGGGGGUUUAUAAGUUAUUAAGUAGAGUGAAAAAAAAAAAAGUCUUUGAUUCAACUAUUUUCUGUCUGCAGCUAUUUGUUAAACCUGUGACCUGUGUUUCCUCUCCGUGUCCUUCAAGUGCCUUCUGUUAGAUCCUGUUUGCCAUUACAGAUUAAUGGCAGUUACUGAUCUACCAAAAAGUCAGGAGACUCGCAGUCUGUUUGUAAUCCAGUGAGUCGGAUUGAACCGUCCUCACCUCAUACUAGCCAAAGAUUUUAUGUAAGUUGUAACUUGCUGGCUGCUAUUUUUAAUAUCGCAUAUAGUCGAUCUCUUCCCUGGUACUCAUGUAUGGAAUAAUGUAGUAAAUAGUUUCAUAUUUUUCCCUGGUGAGGCACAGAUGAUUUCAUAUCCCCUUUAGAGUUGGCACUCAUACUGUGCAGAUAGAAUAUUGAGUCAUAUCUGUGGCAGUGAGUCAUAUUUGUUCAGAAAUUGUUUACAAUAUAUUUUACGUCCUUUUGGUACAGAAUGUGUAUGCUGGCUCAUGUCUGAGAUUAAAUAUCAUCUACUUAUAUUGUUAAUGCUAUUUUUUGUAAGAAAUUGUGUAAGAGAUUAAAUGUGAUGAAAGACGAUAUUAACACCACAGGAUUUGUUUAUAAGAACGAAUGAUGUUUAUUUUUCUGGUGGCUGGUUGGGUAAUAGAGUGUCGCUUGUCUCCUCAUUAUUUUCUGAAAUAAGGACGUGUGCUAUGCGAAUGAAACAGCUGAGUGUCAGUGCUGAGUCACUCACUUCUGAAGGAUGUAAGAUCAUUGAAUAAAAAAUACAUUUUUACCACAA